CACAUGCAGUCGAACGAAGCAUUUAGAACGGAUUACUUCGGUUUGAAGUUCUUUAUGACUGAGUGGCGGACGGGUGAGUAACGCGUGGGUAACCUGCCUUGUACUGGGGGAUAGCAGCUGGAAACGGCUGGUAAUACCGCAUAAGCGCACAAUGUUGCAUGACAUGGUGUGAAAAACUCCGGUGGUAUAAGAUGGACCCGCGUCUGAUUAGCUAGUUGGUGAGAUAACAGCCCACCAAGGCGACGAUCAGUAGCCGACCUGAGAGGGUGACCGGCCACAUUGGGACUGAGACACGGCCCAGACUCCUACGGGAGGCAGCAGUGGGGAAUAUUGCACAAUGGAGGAAACUCUGAUGCAGCGACGCCGCGUGAGUGAAGAAGUAAUUCGUUAUGUAAAGCUCUAUCAGCAGGGAAGAUAGUGACGGUACCUGACUAAGAAGCUCCGGCUAAAUACGUGCCAGCAGCCGCGGUAAUACGUAUGGAGCAAGCGUUAUCCGGAUUUACUGGGUGUAAAGGGAGUGUAGGUGGCCAUGCAAGUCAGAAGUGAAAAUCCGGGGCUCAACCCCGGAACUGCUUUUGAAACUGUAAGGCUGGAGUGCAGGAGGGGUGAGUGGAAUUCCUAGUGUAGCGGUGAAAUGCGUAGAUAUUAGGAGGAACACCAGUGGCGAAGGCGGCUCACUGGACUGUAACUGACACUGAGGCUCGAAAGCGUGGGGAGCAACAGGAUUAGAUACCCUGGUAGUCCACGCCGUAACGAUGAAUACUAGGUGUCGGGGCCCAUGAGGGCUUCGGUGCCGCAGCAAACGCAAUAAGUAUUCCACCUGGGGAGUACGUUCGCAAGAAUGAAACUCAAAGGAAUUGACGGGGACCCGCACAAGCGGUGGAGCAUGUGGUUUAA
This 897-nucleotide ribosomal RNA is filed under the name uncultured bacterium. RNAcentral's name for it is "bacterial SSU rRNA". It matches the Rfam family "Bacterial small subunit ribosomal RNA", at positions 52 to 949 of the family's 1533-position model. The record is from RNAcentral.